Acanthosepion pharaonis is the source of this 113-nucleotide non-coding RNA. NCBI's taxonomy places the organism in Eukaryota, Metazoa, Mollusca, Cephalopoda, Sepiida, Sepiidae. The record is from the annotation of a GenBank genome assembly.
UUACGGCCACAUCACAUUGAAACGCUGAUUCCCAUACGAUCACCGAAGUUAAGCAACGUCAAGACUAGUAAGUACCUAGAUGGGUAACUGCUUCGGGAUAUGAGGUGCUGUAA